GUGAAUCAUCAAAUUUUUGAACGCAAAUUGCACUUUCUGGUAUUCCGGAAAGUAUGCCUGUUUGAGGGUCAGUUAAAUAAAAAUCGGUGUUGUUGCUGCCUUUCGUGGUGACGCGUCGGAUUUGAGUCGUCUUACCUUCGUUUCAGCUUCUUAAAAUUUUUCCAUUAUUUUCGAACGUAUUUAACUCUUUUACGUACGUUUGCGAUAUCGAAUGCUUAUUAGGUUCGUUCAUCCUCAUCACCCGCUCCUAUACUUUUUCAUUAAAUUCCCUCUACUCAGGUAAGA
This 285-nucleotide unclassified non-coding RNA is filed under the name Glomus sp. RNAcentral's name for it is "partial contains 5.8S ribosomal RNA and internal transcribed spacer 2". The stretch from base 1 to 71 matches the Rfam family "5.8S ribosomal RNA", at positions 84 to 154 of the family's 154-position model. Lineage: Eukaryota; Fungi; Glomeromycota; Glomeromycetes; Glomerales; Glomeraceae. The record is from RNAcentral.